UUUUAGUGGUCACUUAUAUUUGGUUUGUUUCUAUAAGCCGAAUCUCCUGAUCCAUCUCUACCAUUGGGGCCAGUUAUUGGAGGAAUCAUUGGGAUCAUCGUUCUCAUCUCCUUGGUGGUCUGUGUUUGCACUCUGUGUAGGAGGCCGAUAAAGUUGACACAUUCAACUCAACGGCAGAAUCAGAAUCAAACAGGUGAAGAGCUGACUGUUAAAGAGCCAGCAAGAAAAACAGAAGAAAAAGAAGAAGAAAAAGAAGAAGACAUCCAUUAUGGAGAGAUCGACUUCUCCAAGCAGAGACCUGAACUGUCCUCAUCCUCAGAGCAGGACAGAGGACAGCAGCAGGACACGCUGUAUGCACAGGUCAAAGUGUCCCAGACAGCACACAGCCGAACACAGACUGCUGACGGCCCAGAGGAUCUCUACGCUCAAGUGAAGAAAAAAUAGAGUUGUUUUGUUUGUGUACAGCAAUAUUGCAUUUGAUUCAUCUGAAAUGUACUUUUAUUUUUAUUUAUCAGAUCUUGUUUAUGUUCAACAGUAGAAAAACAACACUGGAUCCUGGACAGGAACAUUUAAUUUUCAUUGCCUACUGUUCAAAAAAGGGAAACUCAAAACCUCUACACCCUGCAGCUUUUUUUGUGUCAGUUAUCGACAUGUUAAUACGUGGGUGCUGAAAUCACACGGCCAUUGUUAUGUGAUUUGUUAUUUAAAUGUCAGAUACCUGCUAGCAAAAGUCCCAAAGCUCUACAAAAGGAACAAGUCUAAAUGACAUCAAAAGUAUUUCUGCACAUACUUGUAGAGCAGUGCAGGGGAUUAUUAGUAUAGUAUUGUAGUAGUACAAAUGUUAAUACAAGUGUGUGAAUUACAACUUUAUUUGCUAUUUGCAGAAACACCAUGAGUGAUAUUUUUAUUUUCCUUCUAUUAACCCCUCCCUCCUCUCACAGUCCUUCCUUUUUCACAGACUGUGACUUCUGCAUCGACCUGUCAGACAGCAGAAAAAACACUGACUCCAAUGCUAGUUGAUUUCUGCUACAAUCACUACAUUUCUAUUUCGUUUAGUUAUGAUUCACGCAGAAGCACCUCGAGGAUUGGCUUGUUUUUGUGUUUCACUUUUUGAAUUUCUAUGUUCAUAUUAAAUGCCACAGAGAUACAGAAAAA
Perca fluviatilis (European perch) is the source of this 1155-nucleotide long non-coding RNA. RefSeq lists it as uncharacterized. The transcript is spliced from 3 exons. NCBI's taxonomy places the organism in Eukaryota, Metazoa, Chordata, Actinopteri, Perciformes, Percidae. The record is from RefSeq and is a predicted model, not a curated record.